RNAcentral lists this ribosomal RNA (309 nucleotides) under uncultured Enterobacteriaceae bacterium. RNAcentral describes it as "bacterial SSU rRNA". It matches the Rfam family "Bacterial small subunit ribosomal RNA", at positions 355 to 655 of the family's 1533-position model. The record is from RNAcentral. Lineage: Bacteria; Pseudomonadati; Pseudomonadota; Gammaproteobacteria; Enterobacterales; Enterobacteriaceae.
UGGGGAAUAUUGCACAAUGGGCGCAAGCCUGAUGCAGCCAUGCCGCGUGUAUGAAGAAGGCCUUCGGGUUGUAAAGUACUUUCAGCGGGGAGGAAGGCGUUGUGGUUAAUAACCACAGCGAUUGACGUUACCCGCAGAAGAAGCACCGGCUAACUCCGUGCCAGCAGCCGCGGUAAUACGGAGGGUGCAAGCGUUAAUCGGAAUUACUGGGCGUAAAGCGCACGCAGGCGGUCUGUCAAGUCGGAUGUGAAAUCCCCCGGGCUCAACCUGGGAACUGCAUUCGAAACUGGCAGGCUAGAGUCUUGUAGA